GUGAGGAAUAUUGCGCAAUGGAGGCAACUCUGACGCAGCCAUGCCGCGUGCAGGAAGAAGGCGCUACGCGUUGUAAACUGCUUUUAACCGGGAAGAAACCCCAGGACGUGUCCUGGGUUGACGGUACCGGAGGAAUAAGCACCGGCUAACUUCGUGCCAGCAGCCGCGGUAAUACGAAGGGUGCAAGCGUUAUCCGGAUUCAUUGGGUUUAAAGGGUGCGUAGGCGGAGCGUUAAGUCAGUGGUGAAAUCCUGCAGCUUAACUGUAGACUUGCCAUUGAUACUGGCGCUCUUGAGUGCGCUUGAAGUGGGCGGAAUGUGCCGUGUAGCGGUGAAAUGCUUAGAUAUGGCACAGAACACCAAUUGCGAAGGCAGCUCACUAAGGCGAUACUGACGCUAAGGCACGAAAGCGUGGGGAUCGAACAGGAUUAGAAACCCUAGUAGUCC
Molecule: ribosomal RNA, 445 nt
Filed under: uncultured bacterium
Lineage: Bacteria
Description: partial 16S ribosomal RNA
Rfam family: Bacterial small subunit ribosomal RNA
Source: RNAcentral